UUCGCCCACCCCUUCCCAUCUUCUGUUCGGUGUCUGUUGUUUUCACUUUCUCCGUCCCUCCAUUUACCAAAGUGUUUGAUAAAUUCUCACCUGGGAGUGGGGCGCAAAGACAAGACCAUCUUGCUGAUGCUCUGUACCUUCACAACGUUCAGGUAGACCGUGUGUUAAUAAAAGGGAUGGUUGACACUAUCAUCAUUGUUACAUCAUGUCAACCUUGCCAUGCGUAAUUGGACUUGACGUAGACACCUGUGUGGUAUCGAGAAAUGAGAAAGGGAGAUGAUAGUAGGAGAGACUACUAAGGCAGAUGUCGAUUCACGUUGCUUCCGUGACUAGCAUUAUGUCGUCUGUGGUUGAUUCAUUGGAGACUCGUUUAUUGGGUAUACAGUACCAUAGACGAUAAAGACGGCUUCAAGUAGAGCAAGCGGAAAGUAUGGCAGUCAAAUUAGUGGCGGAGAAAAGAUGCACUAGCAGUAGUAAG
RNAcentral lists this small RNA (478 nucleotides) under Cryptococcus neoformans H99. RNAcentral describes it as "Cryptococcus neoformans var. grubii H99 hypothetical RNA". The record is from RNAcentral. Lineage: Eukaryota; Fungi; Basidiomycota; Tremellomycetes; Tremellales; Cryptococcaceae.